GUUGGCUGCGCGUAUUGUCAUUUCAUUUUUUCUUUGUCAAAGGUAUUAAUUUUGCAAAUUAUUCAAAAUAUCGUUUUUAUCAGAUUACCAGGUUUGCGUUCAAUAUCGUAGCGGCUACGUAGUUCGACGUAGAUUUAUUGACUAUUGAACGAGUAGCUAGCCUAGCUACUAUCAAUAUCUAUGUAGCUAGGCUAGCUACACGUGCAAUAGUCAUAAAUCUACGUAGCCGCUAUAUUGUUAAACACAACCCUGUUUUAUUAUUCAUCCAAUUAUCUGUGUUUACCUACGUUUAAAUAUGGUAUUGUGUAAUAGAUCAAACUUAUUCGUUCAGUGCAUGUUUAUUUGUUUUUGUUUAAAGGUCUUUUUGUUUCGAGUGAAGUCUUUUUCGUUGAAAUUUUAUAAUGUGCCUUUUAUUUUGUAAUGUUACACUACUGUUCGGGGCUAGAGUGAAGGUUAGUGCUUGUUAAACCGUUUAAUUUCACUCAAAUUUUACGCACUUGUCUUACGUAAGGUGACAGUAGUUGGUUAGUGUGGUAAAAGGAUGUAUUCUUCUGACUUGUCAGUCUCAUUCAAUCUCGUUGAAAUCUCGUUCUUGAAUUAUUUCCAAAACAUGCGAUACAAGUGGAAAAUAUCAAUGAAUUUUAAAAAUAUUAUAAUCAAACAUAACUCUGUGAAAAAAACUGUGUAUCUACAAUGAAUGCUUUUUGAGUAAUCCAGUUUUCAAAUUUUAUGACCAAUCAAGUCUGUAUCAAAUCGUGAUACAUAUCGCAAGAUAAACCUCCCACUUACAUGACAGUUGUUUAUGUGCGAGCAAGCAAAAUCAGCUAAUUUACUACUGAACAAUUAAAAAAAUCUUGAUUCUGAAAUUUGAGAUUCAUAUUGUCACAACUAGUGUGUCGACUGUGACAACGCUUAGUACUAUGGUUUGGUGGUUAUGGAACAUAACUUGCAGUAUAGUUGUAUAUGUAGCAGUGGAAUAAGGAU
RNAcentral lists this long non-coding RNA (984 nucleotides) under Mytilus galloprovincialis (Mediterranean mussel). Lineage: Eukaryota; Metazoa; Mollusca; Bivalvia; Mytilida; Mytilidae. The record is from RNAcentral.